RNAcentral lists this ribosomal RNA (518 nucleotides) under Papilio okinawensis. RNAcentral describes it as "partial 16S ribosomal RNA". The record is from RNAcentral. Lineage: Eukaryota; Metazoa; Arthropoda; Insecta; Lepidoptera; Papilionidae.
ACAUGUUUUUUUGAAAAUAAUUUAAAGUUUAAUCUGCCCCCUGAUNAAAUUAUUAAAGGGCUGCAGUAUUUUGACUGUACAAAGGUAGCAUAAUCAUUAGUCUCUUAAUUGGUGACUUGUAUGAAAGAUUGGAUGAAAUAUAUACUGUCUCUAUUUAAUUUAUAAAAUUUAAUUUUUUAGUAAAAAAGCUAAAAUAAAUUUAAAAGACGAGAAGACCCUAUAGAGUUUAAUAAUUUAUUUAAUUAUUAUUAAUAUAUAAAUUUUAAAAUUAAAAUUAAAUAAAUUAUUUUGUUGGGGUGAUAGAAAAAUUAAAUUAACUUUUUUUUUAUUUUAUACAUUAAUUUAUGAAUAAAUGAUCCAUUAAUAAUGAUUAAAAGAAAAAAUUACCUUAGGGAUAACAGCGUAAUUUUUUUUUUUAGUUCAAAUAGGAAAAAAAGUUUGCGACCUCGAUGUUGGAUUAAGAUAAAAUUUAAAUGCAAAAGUUUAAAAUUUUAAUCUGUUCGAUCAUUAAAAUCUUA